AGACUUAUUUCUACAAGUGAUAUUCCAUCUCAAAUAGAUCUAAAUGACGAAAAAACCAUAUAACCGAUUCUAACUAGUCUGGGAUUAAGGCUUUGUUGUUGUUGUUGUUGCAUUUUUAUUGUUGUUAUUGAAAAAAUAUUGUCAAUUUUUAGGUUCUAGAUUAAAGUUUGAACUUUCCUAAUUGUCUGGCUUUAUGCACUGGCUAGUUUGAACUAUAAUUUCCUUGACAAUUGAGUUAAUGUAUAACAACACUCACAAUGGCCUUUAUUUCUUACGUGCCAAAAUGCUUUAUUUAUUUAUUUAUUUUCUUAGAGAGAGAAACUGCAAAGACCAAAAUUUUAGAGAUGGAGGGAGAGAGGCAUUAGGAUGUUCUGUUUUUGCGGGAAAGCUAAAG
This 394-nucleotide unclassified non-coding RNA is filed under the name Hevea brasiliensis (rubber tree). The record is from RNAcentral. Lineage: Eukaryota; Viridiplantae; Streptophyta; Magnoliopsida; Malpighiales; Euphorbiaceae.